Non-coding RNA from Hordeum vulgare subsp. vulgare (domesticated barley), 137 nucleotides. Lineage: Eukaryota; Viridiplantae; Streptophyta; Magnoliopsida; Poales; Poaceae. The record is from Rfam.
GCUAUCAAGCGGAGAAAUCGUCUCUCAUGUUCUGGCCGGACUCGACCUCGACUACAACCCGGUCGUGUCGGCCCUUGCUGCACGGGUAGAGCCCGUGACUGCUCAAGAGCUCUACACACAGCUGCUGAGCUUUGAUG